AUUGAACGCUGGCGGCAGGCCUAACACAUGCAAGUCGAGCGGAUGAAGGGAGCUUGCUCCUGGAUUCAGCGGCGGACGGGUGAGUAAUGCCUAGGAAUCUGCCUGGUAGUGGGGGAUAACGUCCGGAAACGGGCGCUAAUACCGCAUACGUCCUGAGGGAGAAAGUGGGGGAUCUUCGGACCUCACGCUAUCAGAUGAGCCUAGGUCGGAUUAGCUAGUUGGUGGGGUAAAGGCCUACCAAGGCGACGAUCCGUAACUGGUCUGAGAGGAUGAUCAGUCACAGUGAAACUGAGACACGGCCCGCCCUCCGACGGGAGGAGGCAGGGGGGAAUUUUGGAAAAGGGGCGAAGGCUUGACCCAGCCAUGCCGGGUGGGGGAAGAAGGUCUUCGUAUUUUAAGCCUUUUUAGUUGGGGAGGAAGGGAAGUAUUUUAAUACCUUGUUGUUUUGAGUUUCCCAAAAAAAAAAGCCCCGGCUAACUUGGUC
This 484-nucleotide ribosomal RNA is filed under the name uncultured bacterium. RNAcentral describes it as "partial 16S ribosomal RNA". It matches the Rfam family "Bacterial small subunit ribosomal RNA", at positions 30 to 507 of the family's 1533-position model. The record is from RNAcentral.